Molecule: transfer RNA, 75 nt
Filed under: Deinococcus radiotolerans
Lineage: Bacteria; Thermotogati; Deinococcota; Deinococci; Deinococcales; Deinococcaceae
Description: tRNA-Glu
Rfam family: tRNA
About the family: Transfer RNA (tRNA) molecules are approximately 80 nucleotides in length. Their secondary structure includes four short double-helical elements and three loops (D, anti-codon, and T loops). Further hydrogen bonds mediate the characteristic L-shaped molecular structure. tRNAs have two regions of fundamental functional importance: the anti-codon, which is responsible for specific mRNA codon recognition, and the 3' end, to which the tRNAs corresponding amino acid is attached (by aminoacyl-tRNA synthetases). tRNAs cope with the degeneracy of the genetic code in two manners: having more than one tRNA (with a specific anti-codon) for a particular amino acid; and 'wobble' base-pairing, i.e. permitting non-standard base-pairing at the 3rd anti-codon position.
Source: RNAcentral
GCUCCCAUCGUCCAGUGGUGAGGACCUCAGACUUUCACUCUGAAAACGCCGGUUCAAUUCCGGCUGGGAGUCCCA